This 719-nucleotide ribosomal RNA is filed under the name uncultured Alternaria. RNAcentral's name for it is "eukaryotic LSU rRNA". The stretch from base 234 to 387 matches the Rfam family "5.8S ribosomal RNA". The record is from RNAcentral. Lineage: Eukaryota; Fungi; Ascomycota; Dothideomycetes; Pleosporales; Pleosporaceae.
CUUGGUCAUUUAGAGGAAGUAAAAGUCGUAACAAGGUCUCCGUAGGUGAACCUGCGGAGGGAUCAUUACACAAAUAUGAAGGCGGGCUGGAACCUCUCGGGGUUACAGCCUUGCUGAAUUAUUCACCCUUGUCUUUUGCGUACUUCUUGUUUCCUUGGUGGGUUCGCCCACCACUAGGACAAACAUAAACCUUUUGUAAUUGCAAUCAGCGUCAGUAACAAAUUAAUAAUUACAACUUUCAACAACGGAUCUCUUGGUUCUGGCAUCGAUGAAGAACGCAGCGAAAUGCGAUAAGUAGUGUGAAUUGCAGAAUUCAGUGAAUCAUCGAAUCUUUGAACGCACAUUGCGCCCUUUGGUAUUCCAAAGGGCAUGCCCGUUCGAGCGUCAUUUGUACCCUCAAGCUUUGCUUGGUGUUGGGCGUCUUGUCUCUAGCUUUGCUGGAGACUCGCCUUAAAGUAAUUGGCAGCCGGCCUACUGGUUUCGGAGCGCAGCACAAGUCGCACUCUCUAUCAGCAAAGGUCUAGCAUCCAUUAAGCCUUUUUUUCAACUUUUGACCUCGGAUCAGGUAGGGAUACCCGCUGAACUUAAGCAUAUCAAUAAGCGGAGGAAAAGAAACCAACAGGGAUUGCCCUAGUAACGGCGAGUGAAGCGGCAACAGCUCAAAUUUGAAAUCUGGCUCUUUUAGAGUCCGAGUUGUAAUUUGCAGAGGGCGCUUUGGC